Ribosomal RNA from Aotus nancymaae (Ma's night monkey), 128 nucleotides. The record is from Ensembl. NCBI's taxonomy places the organism in Eukaryota, Metazoa, Chordata, Mammalia, Primates, Aotidae.
AAUUGUGUCUAUCACCAUACCACCUGAUCUGGUCUGCUCUUAGAAGCUAAGCAGAGCUGGGCCUGGUUAGUACUUGGAUGGGAGAGAGUUUAGCUGAAUUGCAAGGUGAGAAAAAAGCAAUACAUUAA